This 87-nucleotide transfer RNA is filed under the name Paraferrimonas haliotis. Its description in RNAcentral is "tRNA-Leu". It matches the Rfam family "tRNA". From Rfam's summary of the family: Transfer RNA (tRNA) molecules are approximately 80 nucleotides in length. Their secondary structure includes four short double-helical elements and three loops (D, anti-codon, and T loops). Further hydrogen bonds mediate the characteristic L-shaped molecular structure. tRNAs have two regions of fundamental functional importance: the anti-codon, which is responsible for specific mRNA codon recognition, and the 3' end, to which the tRNAs corresponding amino acid is attached (by aminoacyl-tRNA synthetases). tRNAs cope with the degeneracy of the genetic code in two manners: having more than one tRNA (with a specific anti-codon) for a particular amino acid; and 'wobble' base-pairing, i.e. permitting non-standard base-pairing at the 3rd anti-codon position. The record is from RNAcentral. Lineage: Bacteria; Pseudomonadati; Pseudomonadota; Gammaproteobacteria; Alteromonadales; Ferrimonadaceae.
GCCCGGGUGGUGAAAUUGGUAGACACAAGGGAUUUAAAAUCCCUCGAGGAUUUCCUCGUGCCGGUUCAAGUCCGGCCCUGGGCACCA